Molecule: long non-coding RNA, 945 nt
Organism: Salvia miltiorrhiza (redroot sage)
Lineage: Eukaryota; Viridiplantae; Streptophyta; Magnoliopsida; Lamiales; Lamiaceae
Exons: 3
Source: RefSeq, a predicted model, not a curated record
GAGUGCACUAAUAUGAGUGCUAUAAUUAUUAUUUUGGUCACAUGAAUAAUUAUGAUGUGGUAUUUUAUUAAUGAGUGACUUUACCAUAGUUUUGUGAUUUUAUUUGAUCACCUUUCACACACUUUAUUUAAUUACCCAUACCAUAUGUUAUAUGCCUAAAUUUUGCUAAGUAAAGAAUUGAGAGAGUAGAGAUUUAGAGAGUAGAGAUUAAGAGAGUGUAGAGAUUUAGAGAGAGAGAGAUCAAGGCAUUAAUGCCAAAUAUUCUCUUAGAUUCACAAAUCUUUCCAAAGAUUAGCCAAAUCCUUCUAUAUCUUGCAAAGGAUUUUCCUCUCUCUUCUCCACCCCAUUUUCGAUCUCUCUCCCUCUCCCUCAUCUCUCACUUCACUUUCCUCCAUUGUUAGCCAUUGAUGAAACCUUCGAAGCUUCACCCAAGUAUGCCAAACACAUAAAUCACUACUUAAAUCCUCCAUAAACACAUCCUAUUAACUUGAAUUCAAGAGAAUCCUUGAAGGAAGGCUUCAAGACUAGAGAGAGAAAGUUUGAGUUUUGGUGAAGAACUUGAACACGAGCAGAGCAAGGAAGUAAGUAACUCCACUUUGACGGGAGUUUUUGAGUAAGGUCUUCAGGCUAAGCGAGGAGUGAGAUUGGUCUGGUGCUGGUGGGGGAUCGUUGGAUGACGUAUUUACUUUAUCGUAUUUCCUUUUUAUCGAUAAAGUCUUGAUGUGAAGUUACUUUAAAUAUGAAGCAAGUAAUAUACUCACGGUUAUGUGUCUCCAUACAUGUAACUGGUUCGCCUUUUGCUGCGAUACUCUGCAUAUUAUGUUUCCUUAUGAAAAAUAAGCUAUACCUGUUUUGUUUUUGUUCGUGAAUUUCCUGAUAAUUAAAAAGUUAUAACGACGUUGACGAUUUUACCCUUGGGUUCAAUUGAUAAUAUUUUCCUUAGCA